This 569-nucleotide ribosomal RNA is filed under the name Capra aegagrus (wild goat). Its description in RNAcentral is "12S ribosomal RNA". It matches the Rfam family "Bacterial small subunit ribosomal RNA", at positions 9 to 957 of the family's 1533-position model. Lineage: Eukaryota; Metazoa; Chordata; Mammalia; Artiodactyla; Bovidae. The record is from RNAcentral. RNAcentral also lists the same sequence under 1 other name.
CAUAGGUUUGGUCCCAGCCUUCCUGUUAACUCUCAACAGACUUACACAUGCAAGCAUCCACGCCCCGGUGAGUAACGCCCUCCAAAUCAAUAAGACUAAGAGGAGCAGGUAUCAAGCACACAUCUUGUAGCUUACAACGCCUCGCUUAACCACACCCCUACGGGAGACAGCAGUGACAAAAAUUAAGCCAUAAACGAAAGUUUGACUAAGCCAUGUUGACCAGGGUUGGUAAAUCUCGUGCCAGCCACCGCGGUCAUACGAUUAACCCAAGCUAACAGGAAUACGGCGUAAAACGUGUUAAAGCACUACAUCAAAUAGAGUUAAAUUCUAAUUAAACUGUAAAAAGCCAUAAUUACAACAAAAAUAGAUGACGAAAGUAACCCUACUGCAGCUGAUACACUAUAGCUAAGACCCAAACUGGGAUUAGAUACCCCACUAUGCUUAGCCCUAAACACAAAUAAUUACAGAAACAAAAUUAUUCGCCAGAGUACUACCGGCAACAGCCCGAAACUCAAAGGACUUGGCGGUGCUUUAUACCCUUCUAGAGGAGCCUGUUCUAUAAUCGAUAA